RNAcentral lists this long non-coding RNA (1104 nucleotides) under Homo sapiens (human). Its description in RNAcentral is "HSALNT0305636". The record is from RNAcentral. Lineage: Eukaryota; Metazoa; Chordata; Mammalia; Primates; Hominidae.
CCAUUGCUUUAGCACUAUUUCAGCUACACUUAAAAAUGGUUUUUUUGUUUUUAUUUUUAUUUUUUGGUAUUGUGCAAUAAUUUUCAAGGAUUUUCUACUAAAAGUUGCAUCUCUACUUAUCUAUCAGAGUUCCAGAAGCAGAAACUAUAGCAUAAAACAGAACAGCUGGUGGUGUGGCACUCAUGCUGCAAACAGGAAGCAAUGAGCAGGAUAGCAGAGGCUACAAGGAAUGUUGGAGCAGAAGAUCUGGAUCUCUGAGUCUCAGUCACUGUAUUUACCUUGACUGCUUAUCUUGGGUUAUGCAUAUGAGAAGGCACAGAUGUUAAGGAGAAUGCCAUGUGAAGACAUAGACAGAGAUUGGAGUUAUGCUGCCAAGGAAUAUCUGGAGCCAUCAGAAGCUGGAAGAGGCAAGGAAAGAUUCUCCACUGGAGUCUUCUGAGGGAUGCCAACAGGCUGCUUAGUUGAUUCAAGAGAAGACUAUGAGUAGGGAGAAAAGUUAAAACCCAGUCCCACAGAUUAAUCCAAUAAAGAAUAGAAGAGAAAAUUUAAUUUCAAAUUUUGUUAAUCAGAAUUACUUGGGGACUUGUUAACACAGAAGUCACUGAGCCCCAAUUCCAGAGUUUCUGAAGUCUGGGGAAGGCUCAAGAAUCUGUGUUUCUAUUAAGUUCACCACUGAUGCUGAUGCUGCUGGUCUGAGUGAAAUACAUGGAGAACCACUGACAAUGACCUCAGAGAACAUGUGUACACUUCUGAAUAUGCUUGAGACCUUAAGAUGUCAAUAUGGUAGUGGUUUUAACUUGGACAGGGUAUCCAAAAUGUGAUAUAAGUGCUAAGUCUUACCCAUCCAGAAAGUAGAGUUGAGAUUGUUGAUAAGUUUCUAUCUCAGGUAAGUGUCACGUAAGGAACUAGGGUUGGACUGAAUGUGUAACAAUGAGGUGAGCGCAUCGACUCGAAGUCCAGGUGGGAGAUAUUGGGGAGGGAAGACAUGCUUGAAAUAAAUCCAGGGGUCUGAAAUGUUCUACUCCUUCUGAGUGGAGAUAAGUGUGGCGCACAAUCUUUUAAAUAUACAAAGGACAGAAACACUGCUAGAACAUAAAACUGAAU